UACGGGGGGGGCAAGCGUUGUUCGGAAUUACUGGGCGUAAAGGGUUCGUAGGUGGCCAACUAAGUCAGACGUGAAAUCCCUCAGCUUAACUGGGGAACUGCGUCUGAUACUGGUUGGCUUGAGUGCAGGAGAGGAACGCGGAAUUCCAGGUGUAGCGGUGAAAUGCGUAGAUAUCUGGAGGAACACCGGUGGCGAAGGCGGUUCUCUGGGAAUGUCCUGACGUUGAGGAGCGAAAGUGUGGGGAGCGAACAGG
This 253-nucleotide ribosomal RNA is filed under the name uncultured bacterium. RNAcentral's name for it is "partial 16S ribosomal RNA". It matches the Rfam family "Bacterial small subunit ribosomal RNA", at positions 524 to 776 of the family's 1533-position model. The record is from RNAcentral.